UGUGUGUGUAUCUCAGAGUCUGCUGGAUGUGUGUGUGGACGUGAGUUCUGGUGUCCUGAUGUCCGGGAGCAGAGUCGUUCUCUCCGCUGAAGCCGGAAAACCGCAGCAGCUCUGGAACGUCACGAGUGACGGGAUCAUCCGGAGUCACGCCAGACCAGAGCUCGUGCUGGAGGUCAAAGGAGGUCAACAGUUCGACAAACACCAGAUUAUUCUGAACGAAUUCCACGCAGACAAACUGAAUCAGCGCUGGUCUCUGGAGAUCCUCUGAGCUCUGCUGCGGAGCUGCGCCAGGGGGACCGGUGCCCUGUGAGGCGGCUGCACCAGAGGGACCAUCAACUGUGGAAAUCUCAUUCUCAUGACAGCCAGUGGAUUGAAUAUGACCAUAAUCCACUGGACAUCGUGCUAUUAUUUUUCUUUUUUUUUCAAGAACUCUCAGAUUUGAGCGCACACUUGAACAAUAAUAACUAUUUUCCUUUGUGUAAGUUGCAUGAACGUACCUGUUUGGACAUUGAUCUCAGCUGUAUUAAAACGCAAGGCUUGUUUGU
Long non-coding RNA from Sinocyclocheilus grahami, 545 nucleotides. RefSeq lists it as uncharacterized. The record is from RefSeq and is a predicted model, not a curated record. The transcript is spliced from 2 exons. Lineage: Eukaryota; Metazoa; Chordata; Actinopteri; Cypriniformes; Cyprinidae.